RNAcentral lists this long non-coding RNA (692 nucleotides) under Dermacentor andersoni. RNAcentral describes it as "uncharacterized LOC126531083". Lineage: Eukaryota; Metazoa; Arthropoda; Arachnida; Ixodida; Ixodidae. The record is from RNAcentral.
GCAAUAAAGGAUGGGAAGCGCAUUUUGCCUGCACGACAGCAGUGCUCUCAAAAGGGGUUUCAAAAAUCAGCAUUACUCAAUGACCAACUUUGUGAUCAGGAAAAAGUGACAAGUUAAAGGUGUUGCAGUUGGCUGUUGCUAUGAGUAAGCAGUCGCUUCCCAUUGUUAACUAAAUCAUUGCACACCAGCUUAGAGCAGUAACAAGAAAUAAGAUUGAAGCGAAGCAAGAAAAACAAGAAACAAAAAGCAAACAGCAGUUAUGUACAAGCGGCAGCCAACAGCUAGGCAGUUACUUUUUCGCUUUUAUGCAAAUCACCAAGUAAGCCAUUGAGUAGUGUUGGUUCUUUGAAACCGCUUUUGAGAGUGAUGCUGAAGUGUGCAACAUUUGCAGGCCCUCCUUCACUUGGCUUCCUUUUUUUUCCCUCUACCAACUUGUUCAACUUUCAGUCAUUCUAAGUGACAGCAGAAAGGUGAAGAGCAAUUCUGUAACAGUGUGCAGUAUGCUGGAAGCUACACAACGAAGCCAAGCGGGCAAAGCCCCAGCAGAAAGUUGAGUGUCGCUAUGUAAGGGACGGAAGCAGCCAAGGGAGUUCUGGAGCAGCUCUGGGAGCGGCAAAUUUGGCACAUUGGAGCAGGUUUGGAGCAUGCUAGGUAAGGAUGAGCGUGAGUGAAAUACAGACAAAUCAAGCAAA